CACGAACGCUGGCGGCGUGCCUAAUACAUGCAAGUCGAGCGAAGCGUCGGAUGGGUGCGUAACGCGUGGGUAACCUGCCCUUAAGUCUGGGAUACCAUUUGGAAACAGAUUCUAAUACCGGAUACUAACGGAGGGAUCUGCGAUGCAUUAGCUAGUUGGUAAGGUAUCGGCUUACCAAGGCGAUGAUGCAUAGCCGAGUUGAGGAACUGAUCGGCCACAUUGGGACUGAGACACGGCCCAAACUCCUACGGGAGGCAGCAGUAGGGAAUCUUCCACGAUGGACGAAAGUCUGAUGGAGCAACGCCGCGUGAGUGAAGAAGGUUUUCGGAUCGUAAAGCUCUGUUGUUGGUGAAGCGGUAAUCAACCAGAAAGUCACGGCUAACUACGUGCCAGCAGCCGCGGUAAUUC
This 408-nucleotide ribosomal RNA is filed under the name uncultured bacterium. RNAcentral's name for it is "partial 16S ribosomal RNA". It matches the Rfam family "Bacterial small subunit ribosomal RNA", at positions 29 to 526 of the family's 1533-position model. The record is from RNAcentral.